This is a non-coding RNA of Notechis scutatus (mainland tiger snake), 150 nucleotides long. The record is from RefSeq and is a predicted model, not a curated record. Lineage: Eukaryota; Metazoa; Chordata; Lepidosauria; Squamata; Elapidae.
AAUAAUUCAUUAAAGCAAAAAUUAAUCUUAAAAACAUUCCUUACUCCUGGCAGAAAACUAGCAGAAUUAAGGAAAAUGCUUGUAACCAUUUGUAAGAGUAUCCUAAGAUAUCACUAUACUGAACUGAAGGACUACUAUAUUAUUAUAUUG